RNAcentral lists this ribosomal RNA (1427 nucleotides) under metagenome. Its description in RNAcentral is "bacterial SSU rRNA". It matches the Rfam family "Bacterial small subunit ribosomal RNA". The record is from RNAcentral.
GCAAGUCGAACGGUAAGGUCCGCUUCGGCAGAUACACGAGUGGCGAAAGGGUGAGUAACGCGUGAGCAACUUGCCCCGAGGUCGGGGAUAGCCCUGCGAAAGCGGGAUUAAUACCGGAUGUGGCAUGCAACCGAUUGGUUGCAAGGCUAAAGAUUCAUCGCCUCGGGAUGGGCUCGCGUCCGAUUAGCUUGUUGGUGGGGUAAUGGCUCACCAAGGCUUCGACCGGUAGCUGGUCUGAGAGGAUGGUCAGCCACACUGGGACUGAGACACUGCCCAGACUCCUACGGGAGGCUGCAGUCGAGAAUCUUCCGCAAUGCGCGAAAGCGUGACGGAGCGAUGCCGCGUGCGGGAUGAAGGCCCUCGGGUCGUAAACCGCUGUCACCCGGGAUGAAGUUCUGACAGUACCGGGAGAGGAAGCCACGGCUAACUACGUGCCAGCAGCCGCGGUAAUACGUAGGUGGCGAGCGUUAUUCGGAUUUAUUGGGCGUAAAGGGUUCGUAGGGGGUUUGUCAAGUCUGGUGUGAAAUCCCGCGGCUCAACCGCGGAACUGCACUGGAAACUGGUAGACUGGAGCAUCGGAGAGGAGAGUGGAAUUCCUGGUGUAGCGGUGGAAUGCGUAGAUAUCAGGAGGAACACCGAUGGCGAAGGCAGCUCUCUGGACGAUUGCUGACCCUGAUGAACGAAAGCUGGGGGAGCGAACAGGAUUAGAUACCCUGGUAGUCCCAGCCGUAAACGUUGUGCACUAGGUGUGGGGGGAUUUGACCCCCUCCGCGCCCCAGCUAACGCGAUAAGUGCACCGCCUGGGGAGUACGGCCGCAAGGCUAAAACUCAAAGGAAUUGACGGGGGCCCGCACAAGCGGUGGAGCAUGUGGCUUAAUUCGAGGCCACGCGAAGAACCUUACCUGGGUUUGACAUAUACCGGACCGCCGGUGAAAGUCGGUUUCUCUUCGGAGUCGGUAUACAGGUGCUGCAUGGCUGUCGUCAGCUCGUGCCGUGAGGUGUUCGGUUAAGUCCGGCAACGAGCGCAACCCGUGUCAUUAGUUGCCAUCAGGUAAAGCUGGGGACUCUAGUGAGACUGCCCGUGUCAAGCGGGAGGAAGGCGCGGAUGACGUCAAGUCCGUAUGGCUCUUACACCCAGGGCUGCACACGUGCUACAAUGGCCGGUACAGUGGGACGCGAAACCGCGAGGUGGAGCAAAUCCCCAAAACCGGUCCCAGUUCGGAUUGGAGUCUGCAACUCGACUCCAUGAAGCUGGAAUCGCUAGUAAAGGCGUAUCAGCAACGGCGCCUUGAAUACGUUCCCGGGCCUUGUACACACCGCCCGUCACAUCAUGGAAGCUGGUUGCACCCGAAGUCGUUGACCUGACCCGCAAGGGAGGGAGGCGCCGAAGGAGUGGCUAGUGACUGGGAUGAAGUCGAAACAAGGUA